This 1032-nucleotide long non-coding RNA is filed under the name Coturnix japonica (Japanese quail). RNAcentral describes it as "lncRNA (ENSCJPG00005002927.1)". Lineage: Eukaryota; Metazoa; Chordata; Aves; Galliformes; Phasianidae. The record is from RNAcentral.
AUGGGGGUCCAUAGGGGUCCUGGUGGGGUCUAUGGGGCCAUGGGGAUCCAUAGGGGUCCCGGUGGGGUCUAUGGGGACUUGAGGGUCCAUAGGGGGGGAUAUAGGGGUCCUAGGGGGGCUGGGGGGGGAUAUAGGGGUCCUGGUGGGGUCUAUGGGGCCAUGGGGGUCCAUAGGGGUCAUAGUGGGGUCUAUGGGGCCAUGGGGGUCCAUAGGGGUCCCGGUGGUGUCCAUAGGGGUCUCGGUGGGGUCUAUGGGGGUCCUUAUGGUGUCCAUAGGAUUCCUUAUGGGGUCCAUAGGAUUCCUUAUGGUGUCCAUAGGGGUCCUGGUGUCCAUAGGGGUCCUUAUGGGGUCCAUAGGGGUCUCAGUGGUGUCCAUAGGGUUCCUUAUGGUGUCCAUAGGGUUCCUUAUGGGGUCCAUAGGGGUCCUGGUGUCCAUAGGGUUCCUUAUGGGGUCCAAAGGGGUCCUUAUGGUGUCCAUAGGGUUCCUUAUGAUGUCCAUAGGGUUCCUUAUGGUGUCCAUAGGGGUCUCAAUGGUGUCCAUAGGGGUCCUUAUGGGGUCCAUAGGGGUCCUUAUGGUGUCCAUAGGGUUCCUUAUGGGGUCCAUAGGGGUCUCAGUGGUGUCCAUAGGGGUCCUUAUGGUGUCCAUAGGGUUCCUUACGGGGUCCAUAGGGUUCCUUAUGGGGUCCAUAGGGGUCUCAGUGGUGUCCGUAGGGUUCCUUAUGGGGUCCAUAGGGGUCUCAGUGGUGUCCAUAGGGGUCAUGGUGGUGUCCAUAGGGGUCCUUAUGGUGUCCAUAGGGUUCCUUAUGGGGUCCAUAGGGGUCCCAGUGGUGUCCAUAGGGUUUGUUAUGGGGUCCAUAGGGGUCCUUAUGGUGUCCAUAGGGUUCCUUACGGGGUCCAUAGGGGUCCUUAUGGGGUCCAUAGGGGUCCUUAUGGGGUCCAUAGGGGUCCUGGUGGCAUCUGUGGGUCCUGGAGCUAUAGGGACAUCAUUGAUCAGUGGGUCCCACCACUGUCCCCAAUGCCCCAUUGGACUUAA